AUUUACUUGAUCUUGACACAAUCCUACUUGGAUAACUGUGGUAAUUCUAGAGCUAAUACAUGCAUUAAAGCAUCUGACCUAACGGGAAGAGUGCAUUUAUUAGAACAAAACCAAGCGGCUUCGGCUGUUUCUGGUUGACUCAUAGUAACUGAGCUGAUCGCAUGGUCUUGUACCGGCGACGUGUCUUUCAAGUAUCUGCCGUAUCAACUUUCGAUGGUAGUGUAUCUGACUACCAUGGUGAUCACGCGUAACGGAGAAUAAGGGUUCGGCUCCGGAGAGUUCGCCUGAGAAAUCGCGAACACAUCUAAGGAAGGCAGCAGGCGCGAAAAUUACCCACUCUCAGCACGAGGAGGUAGUGACGAAAAAUAACGAGACCGUUCUCUUUGAGGCCGGUCAUCGGAAUGGGUACAAUUUAAACCCUUUAACGAGUAUCUAUGAGAGGGCAAGUCUGGUGCCAGCAGCCGCGGUAAUUCCAGCUCUCAAAGUGCAUAGAAUUAUUGCUGCGGUUAAAAAGCUCGUAGUUGGAUCUGUGCCAUAGGACUGGGUCUACCUUCGGGUACGUACUCAGCUCCUAGGCUUUUUGCUGGUUUUCCCGUCGUAGCCUUCACUGGUUGCGGCGGGUGGCUGGCGAGUUUACUUUGAGAAAAUCAGAGUGCUCAAUACAGGCGUAUCGCUUGAAUGAUUGUGCAUGGAAUAAUAGAAAAGGAUUUCGGUCCUCUUUUAUUGGUUUUGUGGACUGAGAUAAUGGUUAACAGGGACAAACGGGGGCAUUCGUAUCGCUGCGUGAGAGGUGAAAUUCUUGGACCGUAGCGAGACGCCCUACUGCGAAAGCAUUUGCCAAGAAUGUCUUCAUUAAUCAAGAACGAAA
RNAcentral lists this ribosomal RNA (868 nucleotides) under Nematoda environmental sample. RNAcentral describes it as "SSU rRNA". It matches the Rfam family "Eukaryotic small subunit ribosomal RNA", at positions 115 to 988 of the family's 1831-position model. The record is from RNAcentral. Lineage: Eukaryota; Metazoa; Nematoda.